UGGAGGUGUGUAGGAGGCCUGUGCCGUCGCUCAUCCCUCACACCCUAUGGGUCGGGGCUGUUGGGUGUUCAAGGUGGGUAUGGGUAUCUCGAAUUUUAAAAAUCCUCUGUCAGGUACGGGCCAGGAUGAUAUUGUUAUCCUCAUUUCCAAACCCGACCCCAAGAUUGAGAUAUGUAUUUUUAAGUAAUUUACAUUUAAUAUAACUAUGUAUGAUUAUAAUAUAAUCAAGGCUUAUUUACACCAAUGCCUCCUAAAACUAUAGUCAAAU
This 268-nucleotide long non-coding RNA is filed under the name Prunus persica (peach). Its description in RNAcentral is "long non-coding RNA (PPER_LNC008035)". Lineage: Eukaryota; Viridiplantae; Streptophyta; Magnoliopsida; Rosales; Rosaceae. The record is from RNAcentral.